Phrynosoma platyrhinos (Desert horned lizard) is the source of this 72-nucleotide non-coding RNA. Lineage: Eukaryota; Metazoa; Chordata; Lepidosauria; Squamata; Phrynosomatidae. The record is from the annotation of a GenBank genome assembly.
GCCAGUGUAGUGUAGUGGUUUGAGUGUUGGGCUAGGACUCUGGAGAUCAGGGUUUGAUUCCCUGUUUGGUCA